AAUCAACGCUGGCGGCGUGCCUCAGACAUGCAAGUCGAACGCGAAAGUCCCCCGUCGGGGGACAAGUAGAGUGGCGCACGGGUGAGUAACACGUAGGUAAUCUACCUUCGGGUGGGGAAGUAACAAAUCGGAAACGGUUAGCUAAUACCGCAUAAUGCAGCGGCACCUAAUGGUGACAGUUGUUAAAGCGGGGGAUCGCAAGAUCUCGCGCCUGAAGAGGAGCCUGCGGCGGAGUUAGCUAGUUGGUAGGGU
Molecule: ribosomal RNA, 252 nt
Filed under: uncultured bacterium
Lineage: Bacteria
Description: partial 16S ribosomal RNA
Rfam family: Bacterial small subunit ribosomal RNA
Source: RNAcentral